RNAcentral lists this ribosomal RNA (502 nucleotides) under uncultured bacterium. Its description in RNAcentral is "partial 16S ribosomal RNA". It matches the Rfam family "Bacterial small subunit ribosomal RNA", at positions 29 to 507 of the family's 1533-position model. The record is from RNAcentral.
AGCGAACGCUGGCGGCGUGCCUAACGCAUGCCAGUCGAACGUUAAAGGGAGCAAUCCCAAGUAAAGUGGCGUACGGGUGAGUAACACGUAGGUAAUCUACCCCAGAAUCUGGAAUAACCGGCCGAAAGGCUGGCUAAUACUGGAUAGAGCGACGGAAUCCGUAAUUGGGUUUUUCGGGAAAGGGAGCCUGUAAAAAGGCCUUCGUUCUGGGAUGAGCCUGCGUCCCAUCAGCUAGUUGGUGAGGUAAAAGCUUACCAAGGCAAUGACGGGUAGCUGGUCUGAGAGGACGGUCGGCCACACUGGAACGGAAACACGGUCCAGACUCCUACGGGAGGCAGCAGUGGGGAAUCUUGCGCAAUGGACGAAAGUCUGACGCAGCAACGCCGCGUGAGUGAAGAAGGCCUUCGGGUUGGAAAGCUCUGUCGAGUGGGACGAAAAUGCUUGGAGUUCAAAGCUCCAGGAACUGACGGUACCACUAAAGGAAGCACCGGCUAACUCCGUG